GAAGCCAUGGCACAAACGCACCAG
RNAcentral lists this non-coding RNA (24 nucleotides) under Arabidopsis thaliana (thale cress). The record is from RNAcentral. Lineage: Eukaryota; Viridiplantae; Streptophyta; Magnoliopsida; Brassicales; Brassicaceae.